ACAGACACCAAGGCCAGGUGAGAGGGUCCUGCUGCGCUGGGGCCCACAAGGGCUCGGUGUCUCUCCACCUGUCUGCUUGCCUCUCCUGACGGGCUCCUGCCUUCCAUACCCCCAUCCUCUCCUUCUCUGCCUCUAUCUCCUCUCUCUCUUUCUCUCUCUCUCUCUCUCUCUCUCUCUCUCUCUCUUUCUCUUCCUCUGUGUGUGUGUGUGUGUCUCUCUCUCUGUCUCUCUAUCUCUGUGUGUGUGUCUUUGUAUGUCUUUCUUUGUCUCUCUGUCUCUGAGUAUCUCUCUGUAUGUGACUCUCUCUCUGUCUCUGUGUAUCUGAUUUCCCAUCUCUAUCUUUCUCUCUCUGUCUCUUUCCAUCUGUUUCUCUCUCUGCCUUUGUGUCUCUCCAUCUUUCUUGCCAAUUUUCUAUCCCCCUUCAUCUCUCUGUCUUUCUCCAUCUCUGUCUCUCUCAGCCUAAUUUUUUCGUCUCUGAUGUUCCUUCCAUGUGUCUGUCUGCCUCUCCAUCUGAUUUUCCUUCUCUCUGCAUUUCUUUUUCCAUAUCUGUCUUUCUCUCUCUCUUGUCUCUGCCUUUGUCUCUUUCUCUCUCCAUCUCUCUGUCUCUCUUUGAUUCCCCCCUCUCUAUCUCUGCCUGCUUGUUUCCCACCCCUUCCAUGCCAUCUCCUAUUUUCGGGUCUCUCUUCCUCCCUCUCUGCUGGGGCCUGAGCCCUGUGUUCUCUCCUGAAUAAAGCUGGUUCUGUCCUGGCUCCCCCUUCUCUGCCUCCGUCUUUCCUUCCCCCUCUGCCCCCACCCACGCCCAGCCCCAAUCCUGGUUGAAGGGCUCAGUCCUGGCAGCAGGGGCAUCCCCUCCUGCCCUACACAACAGGACAUAGGGGUGGAAAUCAGGGACUCGAGACCAGAGAGGCAGGGAGGAAAGUCAGCCCAGAUGAGGCACAACAGGUCAUGGGAUGCAGAGGCCAGGCAGCACCCUACACCAAGCAGACCAGGCUCCCCUCCCCCCUCGGGCCAGGCUGUGCCAGCACCAGGACAAUGCACCCUUGUCUCCUGUCCUGACAGCUGGGGGCUCCUGCCUCCGCCUCCUUCAGAGGGGCCAGUGGCUCUCUGCUCUGCCCUAGGCAGGGGAAUGACCCUGGGGACUAGGCCUAGGGAUCUACCACCUCCAGGCUCCUGUCUCUGCCUGAGCCCCAGGGUUCUCUCAUUAUUCUGGUCACCCUGGGUGUUUGGCCACCCUUCCUGUGCGCUGCCUCUGCACUUCCUGUCCUAGCUCUGCUGUCCCUCUACUACAUCCUUCCUCCCCUUCUGGUAUGUGUGGUCCUCCCCACUAGAAACCUUGU
RNAcentral lists this long non-coding RNA (1337 nucleotides) under Mus musculus (house mouse). RNAcentral's name for it is "chromatin reorganization 1a". Lineage: Eukaryota; Metazoa; Chordata; Mammalia; Rodentia; Muridae. The record is from RNAcentral.